AAACCAUGAUGAGGACACUAGUUGAUAUAGCUCCUAAAUCUUUCCCAUGCUUCCCCAAAGGUCUCAUGGUAAAGCUUGAGAUUUGAUUCCUCAGUUU
This 97-nucleotide small nucleolar RNA is filed under the name Eutrema salsugineum. RNAcentral describes it as "Plant small nucleolar RNA R71". It matches the Rfam family "Plant small nucleolar RNA R71". From Rfam's summary of the family: R71 is a member of the C/D box family of snoRNAs containing the C (UGAUGA) and D (CUGA) box motifs. Multiple nearly identical copies of this snoRNA have been identified in Arabidopsis, and it is thought to function as a 2'-O-ribose methylation guide for 18S ribosomal RNA. The record is from Rfam by way of RNAcentral. Lineage: Eukaryota; Viridiplantae; Streptophyta; Magnoliopsida; Brassicales; Brassicaceae.